AUUAAUUCGAUGCAACGCGUAGAACCUUACCUGGGUUUGACAUGGAUCGGGAGUGCUCAGAGAUGGGUGUGCCUCUUUUGGGGUCGGUUCACAGGUGGUGCAUGGCUGUCGUCAGCUCGUGUCGUGGGAUGUUGGGUUAAGUCCCGCAACGAGCGCAACCCUUGUUCACUGUUGCCAGCACGUUAUGGUGGGGACUCAGUGGAGACCGCCGGGGUCAACUCGGAGGAAGGUGGGGAUGACGUCAAGUCAUCAUGCCCCUUAUGUCCAGGGCUUCACGCAUGCUACAAUGGCUGGUACAGAGAGUGGCGAGCCUGUGAGGGUGAGCGAAUCUCGGAAAGCCGGUCUCAGUUCGGAUUGGGGUCUGCAACUCGACCUCAUGAAGUCGGAGUCGCUAGUAAUCGCAGAUCAGCAACGCUG
Molecule: ribosomal RNA, 417 nt
Filed under: uncultured Actinomycetes bacterium
Lineage: Bacteria; Bacillati; Actinomycetota; Actinomycetes
Description: bacterial SSU rRNA
Rfam family: Bacterial small subunit ribosomal RNA
Source: RNAcentral